Molecule: ribosomal RNA, 2441 nt
Filed under: Enterobacter hormaechei
Lineage: Bacteria; Pseudomonadati; Pseudomonadota; Gammaproteobacteria; Enterobacterales; Enterobacteriaceae
Description: partial 23S ribosomal RNA
Rfam family: Bacterial large subunit ribosomal RNA
Source: RNAcentral
UGUGAACUCGAAGAGUAGGGCGGGACACGUGGUAUCCUGUCUGAAUAUGGGGGGACCAUCCUCCAAGGCUAAAUACUCCUGACUGACCGAUAGUGAACCAGUACCGUGAGGGAAAGGCGAAAAGAACCCCGGCGAGGGGAGUGAAAAAGAACCUGAAACCGUGUACGUACAAGCAGUGGGAGCCUCUUUAUGGGGUGACUGCGUACCUUUUGUAUAAUGGGUCAGCGACUUAUAUUCUGUAGCAAGGUUAACCGUAUAGGGGAGCCGAAGGGAAACCGAGUCUUAACUGGGCGUUAAGUUGCAGGGUAUAGACCCGAAACCCGGUGAUCUAGCCAUGGGCAGGUUGAAGGUUGGGUAACACUAACUGGAGGACCGAACCGACUAAUGUUGAAAAAUUAGCGGAUGACCUGUGGCUGGGGGUGAAAGGCCAAUCAAACCGGGAGAUAGCUGGUUCUCCCCGAAAGCUAUUUAGGUAGCGCCUCGUGAACUCAUCUUCGGGGGUAGAGCACUGUUUCGGCUAGGGGGCCAUCCCGGCUUACCAACCCGAUGCAAACUACGAAUACCGAAGAAUGUUAUCACGGGAGACACACGGCGGGUGCUAACGUCCGUCGUGAAGAGGGAAACAACCCAGACCGCCAGCUAAGGUCCCAAAGUCAUGGUUAAGUGGGAAACGAUGUGGGAAGGCACAGACAGCCAGGAUGUUGGCUUAGAAGCAGCCAUCAUUUAAAGAAAGCGUAAUAGCUCACUGGUCGAGUCGGCCUGCGCGGAAGAUGUAACGGGGCUAAACCAUGCACCGAAGCUGCGGCAGCGACGCUUAUGCGUUGUUGGGUAGGGGAGCGUUCUGUAAGCCGUUGAAGGUGUGCUGUGAGGCAUGCUGGAGGUAUCAGAAGUGCGAAUGCUGACAUAAGUAACGAUAAAGCGGGUGAAAAGCCCGCUCGCCGGAAGACCAAGGGUUCCUGUCCAACGUUAAUCGGGGCAGGGUGAGUCGACCCCUAAGGCGAGGCCGAAAGGCGUAGUCGAUGGGAAACAGGUUAAUAUUCCUGUACUUGGUGUUACUGCGAAGGGGGGACGGAGAAGGCUAUGUCAGCCGGGCGACGGUUGUCCCGGUUUAAGCAUGUAGGCGGAGGUUCCAGGUAAAUCCGGUACCUUAUUAACGCUGAGGUGUGAUGACGAGGCACUACGGUGCUGAAGUGAUAAAUGCCCUGCUUCCAGGAAAAGCCUCUAAGCAUCAGGUAACACGAAAUCGUACCCCAAACCGACACAGGUGGUCAGGUAGAGAAUACCAAGGCGCUUGAGAGAACUCGGGUGAAGGAACUAGGCAAAAUGGUGCCGUAACUUCGGGAGAAGGCACGCUGAUAUGUAGGUGAAGCCCCUGCGGGCGGAGCUGAAAUCAGUCGAAGAUACCAGCUGGCUGCAACUGUUUAUUAAAAACACAGCACUGUGCAAACACGAAAGUGGACGUAUACGGUGUGACGCCUGCCCGGUGCCGGAAGGUUAAUUGAUGGGGUUAGCGGCAACGCGAAGCUCUUGAUCGAAGCCCCGGUAAACGGCGGCCGUAACUAUAACGGUCCUAAGGUAGCGAAAUUCCUUGUCGGGUAAGUUCCGACCUGCACGAAUGGCGUAAUGAUGGCCAGGCUGUCUCCACCCGAGACUCAGUGAAAUUGAACUCGCUGUGAAGAUGCAGUGUACCCGCGGCAAGACGGAAAGACCCCGUGAACCUUUACUAUAGCUUGACACUGAACACUGGUCCUUGAUGUGUAGGAUAGGUGGGAGGCUUUGAAGCGUGGACGCCAGUCUGCGUGGAGCCAUCCUUGAAAUACCACCCUUUAAUGGCUGGUGUUCUAACGUAGACCCGUGAUCCGGGUUGCGGACAGUGUCUGGUGGGUAGUUUGACUGGGGCGGUCUCCUCCCAAAGAGUAACGGAGGAGCACGAAGGUUGGCUAAUCCUGGUCGGACAUCAGGAGGUUAGUGCAAUGGCAUAAGCCAGCUUGACUGCGAGCGUGACGGCGCGAGCAGGUGCGAAAGCAGGUCAUAGUGAUCCGGUGGUUCUGAAUGGAAGGGCCAUCGCUCAACGGAUAAAAGGUACUCCGGGGAUAACAGGCUGAUACCGCCCAAGAGUUCAUAUCGACGGCGGUGUUUGGCACCUCGAUGUCGGCUCAUCACAUCCUGGGGCUGAAGUAGGUCCCAAGGGUAUGGCUGUUCGCCAUUUAAAGUGGUACGCGAGCUGGGUUUAGAACGUCGUGAGACAGUUCGGUCCCUAUCUGCCGUGGGCGCUGGAGAAUUGAGGGGGGCUGCUCCUAGUACGAGAGGACCGGAGUGGACGCAUCACUGGUGUUCGGGUUGUCAUGCCAAUGGCACUGCCCGGUAGCUAAAUGCGGAAGAGAUAAGUGCUGAAAGCAUCUAAGCACGAAACUUGCCCCGAGAUGAGUUCUCCCUGAGAC